GCCCAGACUCCUACGGGAGGCAGCAGUGGGGAAUAUUGCACAAUGGGGGAAACCCUGAUGCAGCGACGCCGCGUGAGCGAUGAAGUAUUUCGGUAUGUAAAGCUCUAUCAGCAGGGAAGAAGAUGACGGUACCUGACUGAGAAGCCCCGGCUAACUACGUGCCAGCAGCCGCGGUAAUACGUAGGGGGCAAGCGUUAUCCGGAUUUACUGGGUGUAAAGGGAGCGUAGACGGCGAUGCAAGCCAGAUGUGAAAGCCCGGGGCUCAACCCCGGGACUGCAUUUGGAACUGUGUGGCUGGAGUGUCGGAGAGGCAGGCGGAAUUCCUAGUGUAGCGGUGAAAUGCGUAGAUAUUAGGAGGAACACCAGUGGCGAAGGCGGCCUGCUGGACGAUGACUGACGUUGAGGCUCGAAAGCGUGGGGAGCAAACAGGAUUAGAUACCCUCGUA
RNAcentral lists this ribosomal RNA (446 nucleotides) under uncultured bacterium. Its description in RNAcentral is "bacterial SSU rRNA". It matches the Rfam family "Bacterial small subunit ribosomal RNA", at positions 329 to 792 of the family's 1533-position model. The record is from RNAcentral.